Molecule: long non-coding RNA, 384 nt
Organism: Bombus pascuorum
Lineage: Eukaryota; Metazoa; Arthropoda; Insecta; Hymenoptera; Apidae
Exons: 2
Source: RefSeq, a predicted model, not a curated record
UAUAAACCGACGAUAUUGCUAUCGUUUCAUGGCAUUAGUAUACUUACGUUGUAGAGCCCCUUAAGAAUGUCUUGUCUCAACAUGCAUCAUUUAUUAUUUCUAUUGCUUGAAAGUCUCGUAUUAUUUAAAACGGACACUUCCUUACAACGAUCUGUCAUCUGAACAGACACAUCGAGCAGCUUAGUAAGCUGCUUAUAAGAUAGGAGGUUCCCAAGGUUUCGGCAUGAGACAAUUAAGUAUAAUAUUAUUAAGGCUUUCUCCGUCAGGAUAUUUCAGAUAUACACCGUCUGUGGUAGGUAUACCAUCAUAUGUACAUAUCAGAGUAACUUUAGUUCUCACUAGGUUGUCCAAAAUUUUAAUUAUUGAUAUUAACGGAGGGAUAUC